This 368-nucleotide ribosomal RNA is filed under the name uncultured organism. RNAcentral describes it as "bacterial SSU rRNA". It matches the Rfam family "Bacterial small subunit ribosomal RNA", at positions 526 to 896 of the family's 1533-position model. The record is from RNAcentral.
CGAAGGAUGCAAGCGUUAUCCGGAUUCAUUGGGUUUAAAGGGAGCGUAGGUGGCCUUAUAAGUCAGUGGUGAAAUCUCUCGGCUUAACCGAGAAAUUGCCAUUGAUACUGUAGGGCUUGAGUAUAGUUGCCGUUGGCGGAAUAUGACAUGUAGUGGUGAAAUACAUAGAGAUGUCAUAGAACACCGAUUGCGAAGGCAGCUGACGAAACUAUAACUGACACUGAGGCACGAAAGUGCGGGGAUCAAACAGGAUUAGAUACCCUGGUAGUCCGCACUGUAAACGAUGAUUACUCGCUGCUAGAGGGCAACUUUUAGUGGCUUAGCGAAAGCGAUAAGUAAUCCACCUGGGGAGUACGCCGGCAACGGUG